CCUACGGGAGGCAGCAGUGAGGAAUAUUGGUCAAUGGGCGAGAGCCUGAACCAGCCAAGUCGCGUGAAGGAUGACGGCCCUACGGGUUGUAAACUUCUUUUGUCAGGGAGCAAUUGGGUCCACGUGUGGGCUUAGCGAGAGUACCUGAAGAAAAAGCAUCGGCUAACUCCGUGCCAGCAGCCGCGGUAAUACGGAGGAUGCGAGCGUUAUCCGGAUUUAUUGGGUGUAAAGGGAGCGUAGACGGCUGUGCAAGUCUGGAGUGAAAGGCGGGGGCCCAACCCCCGGACUGCUCUGGAAACUGUAUG
RNAcentral lists this ribosomal RNA (305 nucleotides) under uncultured bacterium. Its description in RNAcentral is "bacterial SSU rRNA". It matches the Rfam family "Bacterial small subunit ribosomal RNA", at positions 338 to 639 of the family's 1533-position model. The record is from RNAcentral.